Molecule: long non-coding RNA, 2750 nt
Organism: Lycium ferocissimum
Lineage: Eukaryota; Viridiplantae; Streptophyta; Magnoliopsida; Solanales; Solanaceae
Exons: 2
Source: RefSeq, a predicted model, not a curated record
AUGUACUUAAACACAAAUAAAGAGUAAGAGGCGUAAAGUAUCUAAAAAUAUGUAUUUCUAAAUGCUAAUCAGGCCUAACCAGCCAGUUUAAGAGCAAGUAGAAAUCAAGAAAGCACAAUAAAAUUCAAUCUUUAACCAUUUCUUGUUAGUCCAUCCAGUGUCCAAGUCAAGGUAUAAAAUAAUCCAAUGUCUUAUUGAAACAGUUUUAGCAUGUCAGACAUAAUAUAUUGUAAUAAACUAUAUCUUAGGAUUCAAGAUUUUGUAUAAGCCAAAGUUACUUUUUGUGACUUGUUUAAGGAGUUCGGGUUGGGACUCGAGGGGUUCGGGUGAGUAAUGGAAUUAAAAACCCACAAUAGCUCUACAAGAUUUUAAUUUUUUCUUGUGCCAGAGUAGUGUUUUGCGAUUUUGGAGCACUGUCUCGCUUUCGCGUAGGGUAUUGGUGAUGUACAUCAUGGUCGCUAAGCUCGAGUCGUGUUUACAGAGGAGGCUUAUUGGACUGUGCUUUUCAGUCGAAAGACCUGCUAUCGUGAUUGUAAUGGGCAAUUGUGUCAGGUAUAAAACAAAGAUUAUAGGAUUAUUUCAUUGCACAACAUUUAUGGGUAUUUUGGAGCUCACUUUUGUGUUAUAUUUGAAAGAGAAAUCAUCAAUUGUGUUGGCUAAGUCUGUUAAACUCAAAUUUGAUUAUAUCACAUGAUUUCCCAUGAGAUUUAGGCCUUUAAUCUAUGGAUCCGAAGUGUUAAAUUGAGAGAUUUUCUUCUAGGUUAUAGAAUGCAUAAUUUGAUUAUUUGGGAGUCGAUUUGAUGUUGGAUUGAGGAAAUAAUUAUAGAUUUAGAACCCUUAGGGUAUGUAUAACCUGAUUUUGAAAUCAAUUUUUGAUUUUGACCCAAGGUUCGAGUUUUACUUUUGUUCACUAAGACAUAGACCAUAAAUUAUGAGAAUCGGUUCUUUAGCUUCGUUUAAUGAUAGUAAUCAUUCUUUUUGCUAGAGUUGAGUCAUUUGGACACGUUUAGGCAAGGAAAAAUGGCCAAGAAGGAUUGAAAACUCAUUUUGAUCGAAGUAAGUUAAGACUUUGACCUUCUCGAGGAAAUUUAUCUCAACUUAUGUGUUAUACGUGAUUUACUAUGUGGGGAAUAGUAUAUACAUGGCGCGACAAGUAUAUAUACGACUACUGGAUAUGAAAGAAGAGACACUUGAAAUGCUAGUUGUAGCUUUCUCGUGUUUCGAUGAAUGAGCAUGAUAUAUAUGCCUUGUUGAUGAAAUUAGACUUUCAUAUGUUAGAAAGCAAGUCUUAUCUCUGUAUUCAUUGAAAUUCUAUUUGAGAAUUUAUAUGCCUUACAAAUUGUUAUUCCUUUUACAAGUGCUAUUUCUUUAUAUGCUCCUUAUAUUUAUGAUAUGAUAUUAUUGAGGAGUAGAUAUGUGAAUAUUAGGGAUCGUGCGAGUCCGAUCUUGACACGGUGUUGGGGAUCGUUCGAGUUCGACAUUGAGAUAACGAUGAGCACCGUCUAUGUCCUAUUUGAUACAAGGAUGUAGGGCUAUUGAGCCGGAUUGUGAAGGUAACAUGAUAGGACUAUUGAGUCUGUGAGAGCAUAUAUAUUAUCAUGUGCACGUACGGAUAUGAAUGCAUCCUUCUUGAGUCACUGGCUUGGUAUCACCCUUGCAAUGAGCACGCUGGUUAUAAAAAAAGUUGACCAACUGAGCUGAGAAGUGAACUUAUAUGAUAAAGAUCCUACAUCUACUUCUUUUCUUGAUUAUUUCCUUGCUUUAAUUUAUUAUCUAUAUUUGAAUUUAUCUAUUUGUUUGACUUGAACUUAGAGAAAUGGUUUAAUAUUAUUGAUUGUCAAGUAUAUGCCUAUGUUUCUAUUAUUUCUCAUUUCAUUUAUAUUCCAUAUAAACUGCACAGGUUAUGGUAAAUGUUUCUGUUUACAGUAACUCUCAUCACUACCCUGCUCGGAGCGAUCAAUAAGACCUACAGAGUGCAGAUUGAAUUUUACACCCAUAUUACACUUGAUGCACUCUUUUUGGAGGUCUAAAUCUCAAUUCCAGUACUUUCUGUGAGUGAGUUCUAGCUUCGAGGAUCCAGUUUUGUGCAGAUGAGUUCCCCAAAAAAGAGAUGAUUUGGAGCUUAAACGGACAAAAAAUGCACUUUAAAGUCCGAGUAGAAGUCCAAGGCAUAGGAGGAUCUGGCUUUGAGAAAAUGAACUGAUAUAGAGCCAAAACUGCAUCAUAUACGGUUCAGUAGUCCGAGUAAAAAAAAAAGAAAAAUUAUUAGAAUUAAGUCCGGGGAUCAACGGUCGAGCAUAUGCGACAUCGGCCGCCAAAAGCAUAAAAACUAAAAAGUUUCACCAGUGCAGGGUGCCUGACAGCACCAAUAUAAAAACGCUACUUCCCUGCAUGUUUUUCAAGUCUUCUGAAUAUUUGGCUUAGCACGGCGCACCUUGUGGUGUGACAAGCCAUUUCUGGACCUGUUCGAGUUCGUUAAGGUUUAAGAGAUGUGUUUUAGUCCUAGGUUAUUUUCCCACAUUAUAAAUACAUGUAAGAACCGAUUUAGAAGGGGAACUAGAAUAGUUUGAAGGAGAGGAAGAGGAUAUCCGAUGAGGGCUAGAAUGAUAGCUCAAGCGUAAUUGAUCCUAAGCUUUCUUCGAUCUUUUCUCUAAUAGCUUUUUACUUCUUAUGGUUGUGGUGCUGUAUGAUUGUUGUUUUUUGAAACUUGAAUUGAUUAUAUUGCUCAACAUAUUGGUUUAUUUAUUCAA